GGGAUGCACCAGGUCCUCUGCAGGUGCUUCCAAUAGAUGCCGCAAGCUGCCCUCACGAGCAGCAGCUGCUGGGGAGCAGGAGAUUAUUUAGGUGGGCUUCCAGGGGGCCCUGUAACCGUAGGGUUGAGCUUGGGUGGUGCUGCUGGUGGGUGUUUGCUGCCUUUAGAUGGGGGCUCCUGUCCUGGCUCUCUCUGUCAGGUCUGAUGUUCUUCACUUGUCAGAAUCUCCAAAGUAGCAGCCCUCUUGAAUUAGAGGGUAAAGAGCAGCAAGUAGGAAAAACCUAUUUCCAAGGUUCGCCAUGCGUUGUGAGCAGAGAAGAGCCAAGGCGUUGGACACUGUCAAUGAAUCUGUGUUGCAACAGAAGCCACUUCUGUCUGCGUGCACAGCUGCUACACUUCUAACCCAGCUGUCAGAUCUCCUGGACUCUGAACAGGAUUCUCUCUGCCGAUGUUUCUGAAUAAUGAUAAGGGGGCUGGUGAUGUAAUAUAUAUUCUGGAACACUUUGUCCACAUGUUAUCGGAAUGCACGCAAUGCAAGAGUUAUGGGAAAUAUAUCAUCGUCCCUCAACUGGAGUUUAUACAGAAUAUUACUCUGCCAUAGGAUCCCUUUAUCUACAUUCUAGAUGGCCUGACAAUGACUCCCCAAAUGCUUGAAGCCAAUUUAAAAAGGAUACUAAGAGCACUCUAAUAGCUGAAGUUAUUACUACUAAAGUGUAAAUCAAUGCUGUGUACAUUCCAAGAAGGAAGAGCGAGUCAGAAUAAGCUUUGUCUUAAUGGAAAUAGUAUUUUAGACAAAUUCUGUAUAUGUGGAGGCAGAUCCUACAUGUAUGGCGCCAUACUCUGCAGUCAGGUCUACCUGCCUUCACUUGCCUGUAGUGGAAGCUGUGAGUUUACUUAGCUAAGAACAAACCUGCGCUGUUUCUAUUCUUAAUGAAUAACUAUUAGUUUUGCUAGAUCUGCACUGAACGUGAGCCUAAGAUGGGCUGCCUAACAGAGCAAAUACAUGAGGAGGAAGAGAAGGGACAGAAUAAUACAAUGCUACACCUCUCAUCUGACCCAUCCGUUGGGUGUUGCAUCAAGCUCAAAGCUACCCAGCCCCAACUGGCCUCCUCUUUUCUCUAGCUAACCCUUAUCUCUCACCCUUUGGGCUCUGGUGUGGUACUAUGCCACUUCUAGCAAAUAUUUCUUCAUAACUUUAACAGUGAUGAAUAGCUCUGUCAGGCACUUUCGGUGGUUUGUAUGCACCAAAAAUAUGAGUUAAGGUCAUGGGCUGUGCCUAGUUCUGGUGUGUGGGUUUCUCAUCCCUGAUUUAUAUACAGAAACAAUAUGACAACGACUUUGGUCAAAGUGGAUGUAAAUCUUUUAAUUUGUGUUCAUCCUGAGAAGACUGUACUCUGAAUAACGUGGAUUUUUA
Molecule: long non-coding RNA, 1413 nt
Organism: Anser brachyrhynchus (Pink-footed goose)
Lineage: Eukaryota; Metazoa; Chordata; Aves; Anseriformes; Anatidae
Source: Ensembl